UGUGUCAGCAGCCGCGGUAAUACGUAGGGGGCGAGCGUUGUCCGGAAUUACUGGGCGUAAAGGGUACGUAGGCGGCUAUAUAAGUCAGGUGUGAAAUACCAGUGCUUAACACUGGAAUUGCAUUUGAAACUGUGUAGCUUGAGUGCAGGAGAGGAAAGUGGAAUUCCUAGUGUAGCGGUGAAAUGCGUAGAGAUUAGGAGGAACACCAGUGGCGAAGGCGACUUUCUGGACUGUAACUGACGCUGAGGUACGAAAGCGUGGGUAGCGAACAGGAUUAGAUACCCUGGUAGUCCACGCCGUAAACGAUGGAUACUAGGUGUAGGGGGUAUCGACCCCCCCUGUGCCGGAGUUAACGCAAUAAGUAUCCCGCCUGGGGAGUACGGUCGCAAGACUGAAACUCAAAGGAAUUGACGGGGGCCCGCACAAGCAGCGGAGCAUGUGGUUUAAUUCGAAGCAACGCGAAGAACCUUACCAGGGCUUGACAUCCCGAUGACCGGUACAGAGAUGUACCUUCCCUUCGGGGCAUUGGAGACAGGUGGUGCAUGGUUGUCGUCAGCUCGUGUCGUGAGAUGUUUGGUUAAGUCCCGCAACGAGCGCAACCCCUAUCCUUAGUAGCCAGCAAGUAAAGUUGGGCACUCUAGGGAGACUGCCAGGGAUAACCUGGAGGAAGGCGGGGAUGACGUCAAAUCAUCAUGCCCCUUAUGACCUGGGCUACACACGUGCUACAAUGGUGGCUACAAAGGGAAGCGACCCUGUGAAGGUGAGCAAAUCCCAAAAAGGCCAUCCCAGUUCGGAUUGUAGUCUGCAACUCGACUACAUGAAGCCGGAAUCGCUAGUAAUCGCAAAUCAGCAUGUUGCGGUGAAUACGUUCCCGGGUCUUGUACACACCGCCCGUCACACCAUGGGAGUCGGAAAUGCCCGAAGUCAGUGACCCAACCCAUCUUAGUGAGCAUGACAGCUUAAAAAAUAUGAAGCCGAAAGGCAAAAGAGUCGUGCUUAGUAAGAUGGGAGGGAGCUGCCGAAGGUGGAGCCGAUGACUGGGGUGAAGUCGUAACAAGGUAGCCA
RNAcentral lists this ribosomal RNA (1065 nucleotides) under uncultured bacterium. RNAcentral describes it as "bacterial SSU rRNA". It matches the Rfam family "Bacterial small subunit ribosomal RNA", at positions 504 to 1502 of the family's 1533-position model. The record is from RNAcentral.